Molecule: long non-coding RNA, 1517 nt
Organism: Macadamia integrifolia
Lineage: Eukaryota; Viridiplantae; Streptophyta; Magnoliopsida; Proteales; Proteaceae
Exons: 2
Source: RefSeq, a predicted model, not a curated record
CUACCUUCAAAGACAUGAACAAAAAAUCCAUAUUAGACCCUUUUUUCCGAGUUCCAAAUUCAUUGUGAUGGUGUCAACUACACAUCUUGCACAAGGCACCAUUUUUGAAAAACUUAUUCAAGUAUCUUAUCUUAGAAAAAGUAGACAGGGGCCAUCAAUUUGCACUUCUAAUAUUAAGUGUUGAUUCUGAGAACUAAAAAUCACGUCAUAUAAUAUAACAAACAAACAAUUACAAACACCCCAUUUAUAUCCAGUUAGAAGCAAUGAGAGAAAAGCAAGACAAAGAAUCCUAAUAGAACGACAUUUAUUAUAAGACAAAGAAUAGUAGACAACAGAGAUAGGGAAAACAAAGCAAAACUCACAUGUUUUCUGUAACACCUUGAUUUCAUAACCCCCAGUCCUAGAGAUGGAAUUUUAUGAAGAAGGGUAAUUGGUGGAAAGAAAUAAUGAAUUAAUGGAAUAGGAGAGAGAUUGAAUUGAGGAUUCAAAAGAAGGUUUUGAAGGGGGCUUGGGAGUGCCCAUGAUGGUAAAAAGGGUCCCACAUAAGAUGAGUAAAGCUGGGACAGAAGUUGGACAGUAAAAGGUAAGACUGGGCAGAACCAGCUGGAGAGAUUCUGUCCAACCGGUCUGCCUGUCUUGAGGACAGAAUGCCCAGAAAUGAGGAAUUUCCUCUUGGGGGCCCCCACCAGUUGAAAGGGGUUUUCCAUCCACUAUUUACCAUGUGUAGGGAAGUGUUUGGAAGUAAAUAUGCAUGUGGGACCAUAUCAAAAUGCAUUUUAUAUUUUAAGUUAUUAAAAUCUGAAUAAAUAGGAAAUCUGUAAAAAUUUCGCUGCCAAACGGACCCUAACUUAUUUGGCCUAUAAAUAGGAGGAGAAAGAGAAUUAUUCCUCUCCUCUCACUAGUGUAAACCAGAAACGAAAUAGGAGAGAAGAAAGAGGGAAAAAAAAAGAGAAAGAAGAAAGGAAAGGAAGGAGAAAGAAGAAGAAGAGAAGAGGAAGAAGAGGUACAGCAGCCUUUUUGCUGCUGUACACAGAUUCGGCUGCUGUUGAUCAGCCAUGGAAGCUGCAGAAGGUGAGUGCAUGCAAGUGGGUUGUACUUUCUACUCCAAGGAGGUACUGAUUGGGUCUUGAUUCAGCUGAAAUUUGGAGGCAAGGAUGGCUGAUUUUAGCUGCAUGCAUGCAUCAAGAACACAAGAAGGAAUCUCAUAAUUACAAUUAUGGAGGAUACGCGAGGCUUAGACAUUGGUGAAGGAGUUCAAACAUGAGAUUUUAGGUGAAGGGUCUUCUGUGUUUUGCUGGGUUUUGGAUGUUUUUCUGUAUUUUGUUAUACAUUACUAUAUUCUAAUAUACUUUAAUGUGCUUGCUUGCAAUUUACUCUUCUUCUUGCUGAAUUUACUGUGAUAGUGCAUGUGUGUUAGGUGAAGUGUGUGGAAUCUAAGUUUGGAAGCAUGUGCUACUCAAUGAGAGAUAUGAUGAGUUGUGGAUGUAUACUAUGAAUGUGUGUGAUGUUAGCUGUAA